UACGAAGGGUGCGAGCGUUGUCCGGAAUCACUGGGCGUAAAGGGCGCGUAGGCGGUGGGGGAAGUCCGUGGUGAAAGCUCGUGGCUCAACUGCGAGUCGGCCAUGGAUACUCCUCGACUUGAGCACUGUAGAGGCAGGUGGAAUUCCGGGUGUAGCGGUGGAAUGCGUAGAGAUCCGGAGGAACACCGGUGGCGAAGGCGGCUUCCUGGACCGACACUGACGCUGAGGCGCGAAAGCUAGGGGAGCAAACGGG
Molecule: ribosomal RNA, 253 nt
Filed under: uncultured bacterium
Lineage: Bacteria
Description: partial 16S ribosomal RNA
Rfam family: Bacterial small subunit ribosomal RNA
Source: RNAcentral